UCAUAGUACGUGAACCGUUCAGGGGUAAACGGGAGGGAUCCGGAAGGUCGAACGGGGAGAUUCAAUCCCGUCCGCUUCGUCGGCACCCGGUCCGCGUUUCCGGAUGUCGUCGGCCGCCGGCCACACCGCAAGGUGCGCGCCGUGUUAGGUCGUCGGCACCGGCCGGUCGGGUCGUCUGGCGGCGGCGGGCUGCACUUCUCUCCCGGUAGGACGUCGCGACCCGUUGGACGAACAAGGUGGGGUCUAAGGCCCGGGAUGGAGACCGAGGGGAUCGCCGAGGAAUCUCGGGUCCACGUUCCCCCGGACCCCGGGCCGCCCGGCCCCGGUUCAACGGUAGAAAACAAGAAAAGGGCCCGUUUUUUUUUUUGCAACCGUCCGGCCCGGGGGGCAAGUUCCGCGGGUUCCUCGGGGGCGGGGGGCCGCGGUUAACGCCCCGCCCCCGCCCCCCCGGGGCUGCUGGUCUCCGAAUUCUUCGACAGCUUUCGGCGGUCCUCCCUCCCGCGCCGCUAUGGCUUCGAAUGCUUUCCGAACCCGCCUGGAACCACGAACAGGGGGA
This 556-nucleotide ribosomal RNA is filed under the name Creobroter elongata. RNAcentral describes it as "partial 28S ribosomal RNA". The record is from RNAcentral. Lineage: Eukaryota; Metazoa; Arthropoda; Insecta; Mantodea; Hymenopodidae.